Molecule: ribosomal RNA, 407 nt
Filed under: uncultured bacterium
Lineage: Bacteria
Description: partial 16S ribosomal RNA
Rfam family: Bacterial small subunit ribosomal RNA
Source: RNAcentral
AUUGAACGCUGGCGGCAGGCCUAACACAUGCAAGUCGAGCGGAGCGGCUGACGGGUGAGUAAUGCCUAGGAAUCUGCCUGGUAGUGGGGGAUAACGUCCGGAAACGGGCGCUAAUACCGCAUCCUAUCAGCUGAGCCUAGGUGGGAUUCGCUAGAUGGUGGGGUAAAGGCCUAACAAGGCGACGAUCCGUAACAGGUCUGAGAGGCUGAUCAGUCACACUGGAAAUGAGACACGGUACAGACGCCUCAGGGAGUCAGCAGUGGGGAAUAUUGGGCAAUGGGCGAAAGCCUGAUCAAGCCAUGCCGCGUGUGUGAAGAAGGUCUUCUGGGUGUAAAGCUCUUUAAGUUGGGAGGCGUUACCAACAGAAUAAGCACCGGCUAACUUCGUGCCAGCAGCCGCGGUAAUAC